CCCGGGCCUUGUACACACCGCCCGUCACUCAUGAAAGUCGGUAACACCCGAAGCCAGUGGCCCAACCCUUGUGGGGGGAGCUGUCGAAGGUGGGAUCGGCGAUUGGGACG
RNAcentral lists this ribosomal RNA (110 nucleotides) under uncultured bacterium. Its description in RNAcentral is "partial 16S ribosomal RNA". It matches the Rfam family "Bacterial small subunit ribosomal RNA", at positions 1373 to 1482 of the family's 1533-position model. The record is from RNAcentral.